CCUACGGGUGGCAGCAGUGAGGGAUAUUGGUCAAUGGGGGAAACCCUGAACCAGCAACGCCGCGUGAGGGAAGACGGUUUUCGGAUUGUAAACCUCUGUCAUCUGUGAAGAUGGUGAUGGUAGCAGAGGAGGAAGCUCCGGCUAACUACGUGCCAGCAGCCGCGGGAAUACGUAGGGAGCAAGCGUUGUCCGGAUUUACUGGGUGUAAAGGGUGCGUAGGCGGCUUGGCAAGUCAGAAGUGAAAUCCAUGGGCUUAACCCAUGAACUGCUUUUGAAAGUGCAGAGCUUGAGUGGAGUAGAGGGAGGUGGAAUUCCCGGUGUAGCGGGGAAAUGCGUAGAGAUCGGGAGGAACACCAGUGGCGAAGGCGGCCUGCUGGGCGCUAACUGACGCUGAGGCGCGAAAGCGUGGGUAGCAAACAGGAUUAGAAACCCUGGUAGUC
Molecule: ribosomal RNA, 440 nt
Filed under: uncultured bacterium
Lineage: Bacteria
Description: partial 16S ribosomal RNA
Rfam family: Bacterial small subunit ribosomal RNA
Source: RNAcentral